Molecule: small nucleolar RNA, 232 nt
Filed under: Octopus bimaculoides (California two-spot octopus)
Lineage: Eukaryota; Metazoa; Mollusca; Cephalopoda; Octopoda; Octopodidae
Description: small nucleolar RNA U3
Rfam family: Small nucleolar RNA U3
About the family: Small nucleolar RNAs (snoRNAs) are involved in the processing and modification of rRNA in the nucleolus. There are two main classes of snoRNAs: the box C/D class, and the box H/ACA class. U3 snoRNA is a member of the box C/D class.
Source: RNAcentral
ACGUUCCAUGCUUUUAAGGAUCAUUUCUUAAGCAUGUGUCGCAACAGUAUCUGAUUCUAUUGAGCAGAUCAACAACAUCACGAUGAUGUGAGAUUGUAUUGAGUCCUGAGCGUGAAACAAGUUUUUCUUUAUCAUUCGUUCCUCGCUUUUAACAAAUGUGAGAAAAAUCCAGUGAGGAUCAUUCUUGAGAGAUUUAAUAACUUCUUAAAGAGUGACUCAAUACUUUCUGAGU